RNAcentral lists this ribosomal RNA (416 nucleotides) under Aclitus obscuripennis. RNAcentral's name for it is "partial 16S ribosomal RNA". Lineage: Eukaryota; Metazoa; Arthropoda; Insecta; Hymenoptera; Braconidae. The record is from RNAcentral.
UUACGCUGUUAUCCCUAAGGAAUUUAUUUAUUAUAUUAAUAAGAAUUAAGGUAUAAAUUCAUAAAUAAUGUUUUUGUAUUUAAAAGUUUAUUAAAUUUUAAGAUUGCCCCAAUAAAAUAUUUAAUUUAAUUUAAUUAAUUUAAUAAUAGAAUUUUUAAUAAAUUUAAAUAUAAAAUUCUAUAGGGUCUUCUCGUCUAUUUAUUAAAUUUAAGAAUUUUGACUUAAAUUUUAAUUUUAAUUAAAUUUUUAUUUAUAAAGAAUAUAUUUCAUUAAAUCUUUCAUUCUAGUUUUUAAUUAAAAAACUAAUUAUUAUGCUACCUUUGUACAGAAAUUUAUACUGCAGCCAUUAAAUAAAUUCAUUGGGCAGACUUGACUUAAAAUUUUUUCAGUUAAGACAUGUUUUUGUUAAACAGGCG